AGGGGCUCUCGCUUGUGUGCGUCGUGUCUGUGGAGCUGUUACCGUGAUGGCUCCUUGUCUUCACUGGGUGUCUUCCUCUUAAGGAGAAAGGGCUCCUCUUUAGCAAGGACGAGCUUUGGGGCAAAGCGUUGGCCAGCGUUAGUUCAUGUGCAGCGCUUGUUGGAGAGGGGCCCGGGUCACGUCUACACAGUCAGCACACGCGCAGCGAAUGUUUCAAAAUGUAGUCAUGUCAGCGCCUUAAAGCUCUAUGGGACGAACUCCUGUGUGGUGCGCGUCGUGUACAUCCCAGCCUCGUUGUAGGGCCCUGCGUUUCCUGACAUGCACUGCGGCUACCUGGAGGAGGAGAGAAUGUUCUAGAAGCCUGUCCGGCGCCCACGGAAUGGUUCAGAAGCUGGAGGAGAGGCCAGGAAGCGGCGCCCGAGCGCCCCCCCACCCCCCCCCACCCCCACAGCGCCCCUGUAGCGCCCCGAGCCGGGCCGUGUGGAGAGAGCGCCCCCUCGCUCGCCCCCCUUCUCCUGCGCCCCCCCCGCCCCCACAGCAGAGGGGAGCAGACGUGACCUUGUCUUCCCCGACUGUUCGUUUUGAAAACUUGGAGACUACAGAAAGCUGUAGCGACAGCACGACAGGCGUCGAUGCGCUCCUCCCUGGCCCCCCCCCCACUGCUAACAUCGCCCCACGACUGUUCUCCCCUUUUUUGCCUGAGCCGUUUGCAAGUUAGUUGUAGCCGUCUUGACGCUUCACCCCAAAGCCUUCAGACUUCCCGAGUCAAGGACAAAACGUCGUGCCCCCAGUACGGUAAAACACGCGCCGGGAACGUCUCCCGCUGACGGAGUCCCGUCACCGACGUGUUCAGACCUGCCCCGUUGUCUGAUAACGGCCCGUACGGAGCCCCCCUCCAGCGCGGGACCUGGCGGGGCGGGGUGCGUCGGUUGUCGCGUCUCCGUAUUCUGCUCUCGUUUGGAACAGUCCCCUAGACUUUUCUUUUAAAUCAUUAAUAUUUCCAAGAGUUCAGGCCAAUUUUUCCAGAAUGUUCCUCAGUUUGGAUUUGUCCGAUGUGUUCUGAGGACAGGCACUUGAUGAACGUUUGGAGGGACGCGGCGCGGGAGGCUGCCCAGGAGCUGCCCGGGUUUCACUGGAUGCCCUGGAGGCACGUGAGGUCGGCGUGUCUGUUCCAGAAGCCCCCUAACCCUCCGUCCUCACAGGAAAGCGUCCUUUCCAGCUGUCUCUGCUCGGCGCUCUUCCCAGCCAAACCUGUGUUUUGGUAAACUGUGAUGAGCUGUUUGCUGGUGUUCUUACCAUAAAUCCAAUGGAUGUGGCGAUUACAGAACGACAAAUCAGAAUAGAGAAAUUAUUGACGGCCUAUAAAGGAUAAGAACCUCAUACACGUUAAAAAUGAUACCAUGCUUUUCUAACAUCACUGAAUUGUCCCAAUGGAAAGUUCUGAGCGAGUUGAACAGACUGUCACCUACGGAGCUUUGUUCGUUUGCUGUCUUUCCUCCCAACAGCACAGAAGCUCCACGUGGGCAGAACAUCUCUGCUGUGUCCCCAGCGUGGUGGACAGGGCCUGGGACGCGGAGGACACACAGGACUGAACACAUCUAUUGAUUCUUAGACACAAAAAAUCAGGAAGAUAUCCCUAAUUUUGGAUAAAAUCUUUAAUGCUUACAGUCAGUAAUCUAUAGGUCACAAACAAGGGUAUUUUAAGGGAGGAAGCUCAAAAUAUGCAACAUGUGGAUACUUUUUAAAAAAAACAUCUGCAGCAUUUAGAAAACAGACCUAUUUAGCAGUUAAGUAUUUUAUUUCUACCUUUCAAAGAAAAACUAAUGUCAAGCCUACAAACUCAGUUGUUCCAUUAAUAGGUUUAGGAGCCAAUUUUGACAAGUGUCAUCAAUAACCCAACAAAGACACAUUUUUCUCUCCACAGUCAGUUAAAGGAACGUAGUUCAGUUCUACUCUCAGUCUAUUACACUUCUCUCAGGCAUCAUAAAACACCAGAUGUAAUGAUGCACUGUAACAAAUUAUAGAACAGGUUUAAAAAAAACUGAGUCCCAUAAAUCACAAUUUGUUAAGGCUCACUGAUAGUUUAAGAGAGAUAAGCCUGCAAACACUAAGAUUUCUAAGAUAAGGUCGCAGGAGUAUUAAUUACCAACUACUCUAAGUCCUUUCCACAUUUCCAAGAUUUAGAAGCGAGGAGACGGAGUAGCAGACGGGUUAAACUCGGCAGACAGACUGAAGCGAAGGACAAGGAAGAAGUGCAGGGUGAGCCCCGAUUCUAAGCUUGCCGCCCGCCUGCAGACGAGGUGAUGAACAGAGGAGCAAAGCUCACCUUCGUGAAUGGAGGUUUUACAACGUUCUACACGAUAGCCACAGGUGGUAAUGACGAUCCAUUCAAGAAAAAGAAGCUGAGUCAACAUCCAAGUCAAAACAGCGUUUUUACAACUUUUCAGAAAAAUUAAGUGAAAUAUCACUCCGGUUUUCUCCUAAAUUCGUUUCUCUAAGUAUCUUUGGGGACAUGAAAAUGAACUCGUGACUUUUCUGGCUGAAUUAUUUAGUAUUUUUCCAUUCAAGCACCAGAAGAGUCGACCUACAUAGGACUUGCAUUCCUACGCUGCAGUCACUUUUCUGUAUGGGAAACAAUGUGCUUUCUACCAAACCACAGCCCAUUUCCAUUAGCAAAAUAGAAAAAAAAAACAAAAAAAAAAAUACUGACCUAGAGGAUGGCACUGGCAUUCACGUCACUCUAACUCCUACGGAGUAGGUGCUAUUAUCACUCCAUUUCACAGCUAACCAGGGUCACACGCUAGGGAACGACAGGGCUGGGAUCAGAAAACCCAGGAAACCUGGUUCCAGGGCCCACAUUCUUAUUCACAUACUCAAUUGUCCAUUUUGUACCCCCAACGCUUGUCUGUGCUUCACGUGUUGUUUCCCACCAGAUCAGUGGUUCUCAGUGGGGCAAUUUUGCCCUUCAACGCCGUCUCCCCAAAUCUAACUGGGGGACGCUUCGCAAUGUCUGGAGACAAUUCUGGCUGUCACAACUUGGGGGAGGGCUGGUAUUACUGGCAUCUAGUGGGUAGAGACCAGGGAUGCUGCUAAAAAUCCUGUAAUGCACAGGAUGGCCCCUCACAACUCAUUAUCUAGCACAGAACAUCCCUAGUGCUGAGGCUGAGAAACCCUAUGACAGAGGAUAAACUCUAGGAGGUCAGGGUCCAAGUUGACCUUGACUGCUGCUCUAUCUUCAGACCUAGAACCAUGCUUGACACAGAAGCACUUAAAUCUAUCUGUUGAAUACUUAUCUGUCUUUAAGAGCCUAGAACUCAGCCUGAUGUGUAGCUGCUGGUAGGCAAUAUUUAUUAAAGGUAACUGAACAAAUGGUACUGCCCUCAAAGAGGGUCACAGGAUGUUAACAGGACACA
Molecule: long non-coding RNA, 3413 nt
Organism: Diceros bicornis minor
Lineage: Eukaryota; Metazoa; Chordata; Mammalia; Perissodactyla; Rhinocerotidae
Exons: 2
Source: RefSeq, a predicted model, not a curated record